Molecule: long non-coding RNA, 341 nt
Organism: Photinus pyralis (common eastern firefly)
Lineage: Eukaryota; Metazoa; Arthropoda; Insecta; Coleoptera; Lampyridae
Exons: 3
Source: RefSeq, a predicted model, not a curated record
UAGUUGCAGACAAUGGAUUUUUUUUGGGUUUUAAGAUUGGUAUCACCACUGCUUCUUUCCAUUCAUCUGGGCGUCAGAUUCUUCAGCAUCUCGUUUGCUAUCUGGUCAGGUCCAGGUGCUGUGUUCCUGGCCUUUUGUAAAGCAAACUCCAUCUCCAGCAUUGUAAAAGAAAAGGUGGGGGGAUAGUUUCCGGAGCUACUAACUACUGCAAACUGAUUGGCCAAAGCGUUCGCGAUUUCUUCUGGUUUUUCCAAGACUAGGUCUUGUGUUUGUAAUGAAUGUAUACCUUGACUUUUAUAUUUGCCACAUAUGGAUCUUAUUUUUUUCCAGGUAUCGCCCAC